RNAcentral lists this ribosomal RNA (462 nucleotides) under uncultured bacterium. Its description in RNAcentral is "partial 16S ribosomal RNA". It matches the Rfam family "Bacterial small subunit ribosomal RNA", at positions 28 to 507 of the family's 1533-position model. The record is from RNAcentral.
GACGAACGCUGGCGGCGUGCUUAACAUAUGCAAGUCGAACGGAAAGGCCCUUCGGGGUACUCGAGUGGCGAACGGGUGAGUAACACGUGGGUGAUCUGCCCUGCACUUUGGGAUAAGCCUGGGAAACUGGGUCUAAUACCGAAUAGGACCACGCGCUUCAUGGUGUGUGGUGGAAAGCUUUUGCGGUGUGGGAUGGGCCCGCGGCCUAUCAGCUUGUUGGUGGGGUAAUGGCCUACCAAGGCGACGACGGGUAGCCGGCCUGAGAGGGUGACCGGCCACACUGGGACUGAGAUACGGCCCAGACUCCUACGGGAGGCAGCAGUGGGGAAUAUUGCACAAUGGGCGCAAGCCUGAUGCAGCGACGCCGCGUGAGGGAUGACGGCCUUCGGGUUGUAAACCUCUUUCAAUAGGGACGAAGCGCAAGUGACGGUACCUAUAGAAGAAGCACCGGCCAACUACGUG